Monodelphis domestica (gray short-tailed opossum) is the source of this 1243-nucleotide long non-coding RNA. RefSeq lists it as uncharacterized. The record is from RefSeq and is a predicted model, not a curated record. Lineage: Eukaryota; Metazoa; Chordata; Mammalia; Didelphimorphia; Didelphidae.
AGGAGCCCGUCGUAGGGAAGGCGAGCUUUGCUCUGGAAAUGAAUGACUCCCGGAGACGAACGCCCGAGGCCGGGAGUGCGCCCCCUGCCGCCCGGAGGAAUGCCAGGCCUCCUGAAAUCCCAUCUCCGGGGAGUGGAAGGGCGAGCUCUUGGGAUGAGGCAAAAUGGAGCGACCGAGACAGACGGACAGAAAAAGAGCAGAUUCUGCCUACUGCGAGCCCCCGAGUUGGGCAUCGAUUCCGGGAAGAAUUCCAGAUAGAUCCCGAAAGGAGUGGUUUUCUACACAAAUUUUCAUUGGUAAAGAGGGGGCCGCUGGGUGGCUCAGUGGAUGGAGAGCCAGGCCUAGAGAUGGGAGGUCCUGGGUUCAAAUAUGGCCUCAGACCCUUCCCAGCUGUGUGACCCUGGGCAAGUCAUUUAACCCCCAUUGCCUAGCCCUUACCACUCUUCUGCCUUGGAGCAGCAUUGACUCCAAAAGGUCAAGAAAUGAUUGUAAAGAACUACCAGGACUUCAGGAAAACGGAGGCAUGUGAGGAGAGAGCCUGCUGGCCUCAAAGCACCCAUGUGACCUUUCCAAGAACAGUCAGUGUUGUGUGAAAGUUAAAUCUGUGGAAGUUUCAGAAUCUGUGAUAGAAAAUGGAGAGACGAUGAUGUUCUCAGAAAAGCCAAGAACACGAAGACCCCAGUAAGCAGAACCAGGAAGUGGCUCUAGCAGAUGGAGAACCUGAAAAAUCAAUAGAGGAGGGACAAGAAAUAUCUAAUCUCUCCUAUCACUGCUAGUUAUUCCUAAUAAAGAACACGUUGAUGGAGAAUUCAUUGGGCAGUAGAUUGUGAAAGAUAUUCCAUAUCUGGAGAAUUUGCAAAAGUUCAACAGAUUAAUUGAUGGACCAAUCAGUGUGCCAAAUGUGGAUGAAUGCAAGGAAUGCACUGGGGUCCUGGGAAAGCUGAAAUUACUUUCAGGCUUAAACUUACACUUAGCUAAACAAAAGACUUUAGAAGGACACAAUUCACCAGAUAUAAUCUGAUCAAGGCUGUGUACAGAAAGACUAUCUUCUUAUUUCUGGUGUGUAAAGUGUGUCUUUUUACUCCUUCAAAUAUUUGUUAUAUUAAAGUUACCAAGUAUUUCCCUUCCUUCCCCUCCCUGAAUUAGAGAGCAUAAUUUGACUAUUUGUAUGUGAAUGUAUAUUGUGAAGAUUGGAUUUAGCUAUCUCCUGAUUGUAACAAUGAAGAUGUUUAAUCUAACAAAA